UAAAGAUGCACACAUACACACACAUACAGACACAUACAUACAUACAUACUGAAUGUAUGUGUGUGUCUGUAUGUAUGUGUCUGUAUGUGUGUGUGUGUGUGUCUGUAUG
Non-coding RNA from Pelobates cultripes (western spadefoot toad), 109 nucleotides. Lineage: Eukaryota; Metazoa; Chordata; Amphibia; Anura; Pelobatidae. The record is from the annotation of a GenBank genome assembly.